GGGGAUGAUGGGCCUCGAGGAAGAGCGAAGCGCCAAGUGCUCAGGCGCCCCGCCAUGGCGGGGCUAAAUCUACCAUGGGAAACAAUAAGUGCAAACUUAUUCAAAAGAAUCGCGGGCGGUUGGGGAUUAAUUUCUCCGAUGCAGCUUGCGACUUCCUACGCUUAACAAAGCAUGGGCAUCCGUCUCUGAUUCUCGCUAGGAGGUCGCGGGUGUUAUAAGCGAGACUCCCCCGCCGAGCGGGCGGGAAAAACAAUUCUCGGCUGAAAAGCCGAUAAGCCUGUAAACCGCCGGUUCCGACCUUUUCCGACCCGGGUUCAACUCCCGGCAUCUCCAAAA
RNAcentral lists this transfer-messenger RNA (336 nucleotides) under Candidatus Giovannonibacteria bacterium RIFCSPLOWO2_01_FULL_46_32. It matches the Rfam family "transfer-messenger RNA". From Rfam's summary of the family: Bacterial tmRNA, also known as 10Sa RNA or SsrA, is named for its dual tRNA and mRNA-like properties. Its role is to liberate the mRNA from a stalled ribosome. RNAcentral also lists the same sequence under 1 other name. Lineage: Bacteria; Candidatus Giovannoniibacteriota. The record is from RNAcentral.